Molecule: ribosomal RNA, 468 nt
Filed under: uncultured bacterium
Lineage: Bacteria
Description: partial 16S ribosomal RNA
Rfam family: Bacterial small subunit ribosomal RNA
Source: RNAcentral
GACGAACGCUGGCGGCGUGCUUAACACAUGCAAGUCGAACGGAAAGGCCCUGCUUUUGUGGGGUGCUCGAGUGGCGAACGGGUGAGUAACACGUGAGUAACCUGCCCUUGACUUUGGGAUAACUUCAGGAAACUGGGGCUAAUACCGGAUAGGAGCUCCUGCUGCAUGGUGGGGGUUGGAAAGUUUCGGCGGUUGGGGAUGGACUCGCGGCUUAUCAGCUUGUUGGUGGGGUAGUGGCUUACCAAGGCUUUGACGGGUAGCCGGCCUGAGAGGGUGACCGGCCACAUUGGGACUGAGAUACGGCCCAGACUCGUACGGGAGGCAGCGGUGGGGAAUAUUGCACAAUGGGCGGAAGCCUGAUGCAGAAGCGCCGCGUGCGGGAUGACGGCCUUCGGGUUGUAAACCGCUUUCGCCUAUGACGAAGCGUGAGUGACGGUAAUGGGUAAAGAAGCACCGGCUAACUACGUG